UCCAUGGCUCACCCAGUACUCAGUGUAAGGUCUGUGUGAUCAAAGUACAGCUACAUCUGAUUACUGGGUCAGUAAUGACAUUA
RNAcentral lists this microRNA precursor (83 nucleotides) under Oncorhynchus kisutch (coho salmon). RNAcentral describes it as "mir-221 microRNA precursor family". It matches the Rfam family "mir-221 microRNA precursor family". The record is from Rfam by way of RNAcentral. Lineage: Eukaryota; Metazoa; Chordata; Actinopteri; Salmoniformes; Salmonidae. RNAcentral also lists the same sequence under 6 other names.